Molecule: ribosomal RNA, 497 nt
Filed under: uncultured bacterium
Lineage: Bacteria
Description: partial 16S ribosomal RNA
Rfam family: Bacterial small subunit ribosomal RNA
Source: RNAcentral
GAUGAACGCUGGCGGCGUGCCUAAUACAUGCAAGUCGAGCGAACAGACGAGGAGCUUGCUCCUCUGACGUUAGCGGCGGACGGGUGAGUAACACGUGGAUAACCUACCUAUAGGACUGGGAUAACUUCGGGAAACCGGAGCUAAUACCGGAUAAUAUAUUGAACCGCAUGGUUCAAUAGUGAAAGACGGUUUUGCUGUCACUUAUAGAUGGAUCCGCGCCGCAUUAGCUAGUUGGUAAGGUAACGGCUUACCAAGGCAACGAUGCGUAGCCGACCUGAGAGGGUGAUCGGCCACACUGGAACUGAGACACGUUCCAGACUCCUACGGGAGGCAGCAGUAGGGAAUCUUCCGCAAUGGGCGAAAGCUUGACGGAGCAACGCCGCGUGAGUGAUGAAGGUCUUCGGAUCGUAAAACUCUGUUAUUAGGGAAGAACAAAUGUGUAAGUAACUAUGCACGUCUUGACGGUACCUAAUCAGAAAGCCACGGCUAACUACGUG